UGUAAUUUCUGCAUGCCAUCUUACCAGAUUUAAACUGAUGAUAUAUAAUCCGGAAAAAUCAAUAAUCCGGAAUUGCCGAAGUCCCGACAAGUCCAGAUCAACGACUUUUGACUGUAUUGUAUAUAUUUCUGAGUUUUAUCUUGCAUUUAUGUAUGUGAGAAAUUUCUUUGUGCCUAUUUUUCUUGUAGUUCAUUGUACUUUAUUUCAUUACUGAACUGCUCUGCAUUUUUUCAUCCAGUAAUGGCAUGGUUUUCUUCUCAACAUUCUGGCAUAUCUUCUGUACACAUUUUAGCACUUUUGUUUUCCUCUUCCCAUUUACCUUGUAUUAUUCAAGGCUCAUGGCCCCCCACUUUCUUUUCUCAUUUUCUGACUUACUUUUGGGAAUGCAUUUGCAGCAAUAUCUAUGUGAAGUGCUGUAAUAGCAUAAUAUUAUUGAGGUGGAUAUGUUGCCCUUUGCCGAAUAAUUUCAGUAAUAUUUGAGUAGAUAGAUGAAGUGAUGCCGUUGAAACUGUCAAAUCAAUGAUGUGGAUUUCAUUCCUCCAAACAACACGUGUGGAGAUUCAUCUGCUAAAUCUAAUAGCAAUGUAGGGGAGAGUCUUCGAAAAAACACUGCGACAGGGGAAGUGCACACUUCCUACCCAAGACAAGAAGCAGUUGAUGAAAUUACCCAAGAUUCUAACUCGAGCUUGUGUCUUGGAUAGAUUUGCCAAUGAUAUAAAUGAGAUAUC
This is a long non-coding RNA of Stegodyphus dumicola, 728 nucleotides long. NCBI's taxonomy places the organism in Eukaryota, Metazoa, Arthropoda, Arachnida, Araneae, Eresidae. The record is from RefSeq and is a predicted model, not a curated record.